This 221-nucleotide long non-coding RNA is filed under the name Capsicum annuum. Its description in RNAcentral is "long non-coding RNA (CANN_LNC011027)". Lineage: Eukaryota; Viridiplantae; Streptophyta; Magnoliopsida; Solanales; Solanaceae. The record is from RNAcentral.
UUAGGGUCUAAUUUUGGAAGAAAGGUGAUGAAAGUGAUAUAAAGUUGAUGGAGAUUGUGAGAUUGAUGAAUUUGGGAGGAAAAGGAAAGGGGGAAGUUUGAGGACCAUUGGAAUCAUUGUUAUCUGAUGGUCUGAGGGAGAAGUGAUAUUUGUAGUAGAGAGAGAGAGAAAUAUUAUCGAUGCUGGUUUGGUUGAGUUUCAACGGGAAGGGGAAAGGGGAU